This 253-nucleotide ribosomal RNA is filed under the name uncultured bacterium. RNAcentral describes it as "partial 16S ribosomal RNA". It matches the Rfam family "Bacterial small subunit ribosomal RNA", at positions 524 to 776 of the family's 1533-position model. The record is from RNAcentral.
UACGAAGGGGGCUAGCGUUGCUCGGAAUCACUGGGCGUAAAGCGCACGUAGGCGGAUCGCUAAGUCAGGGGUGAAAUCCUGGAGCUCAACUCCAGAACUGCCUUUGAUACUGGCAAUCUCGAGUCCGGGAGAGGUGAGUGGAACUGCGAGUGUAGAGGUGAAAUUCGUAGAUAUCGAGAGGAACACCGGUGGCGAAGGCGGCCUUCUGGACAGUGACUGACGCUGAGACACGAAAGCGUGGGGAGAAAACAGG